Molecule: ribosomal RNA, 236 nt
Filed under: uncultured bacterium
Lineage: Bacteria
Description: partial 16S ribosomal RNA
Rfam family: Bacterial small subunit ribosomal RNA
Source: RNAcentral
GCAAGUCGAACGAACUACAAGAGCUUGCUCUUGUAAGUUAGUGGCAAACGGGUGAGUAAUGUAGAGGAAUCUACCUAGCAGUAAGGGAUAACUUUGGGAAACUAAAGCUAAUACCAUAUAUUACCGAUUCGUCGGGAAAGAUUUAUCGCUGUUAGAUGAGCCUCUAUCGGAUUAGCUUGUUGGUAGGGUAAUGGCCUACCAAGGCAAUGAUCCGUAGCUGGUCUGAGAGGAUAGUC